This 567-nucleotide long non-coding RNA is filed under the name Pan troglodytes (chimpanzee). RNAcentral describes it as "long non-coding RNA NONPTRT002302". Lineage: Eukaryota; Metazoa; Chordata; Mammalia; Primates; Hominidae. The record is from RNAcentral.
AAGACUCAUUGUGGACUUCUGACUUCCAGAACUCUGAGAAUAAAUUAGUGUGGUUUUGAGCCACAUAUUUUGAGGCAAUUAUUAUGACAGUAAUUAACUGAUACAGUUAGCCUGUGAUUACAAAUAUUUUGGGAGAUUCCUAUUUUUUAUUUUCAACACACUCUGAAAAGAAUUGCAUUAAAGACCAUAUUUUGUAUGGAAUGUUUUAAAAUUAAUCUGGCUUCUUUGGGAACUACAAAUUUAAUUGAAACUAUUAUCUUAGAUGUGUGUUUGAGAUCUCCAUCUGAAUAAUGAUCCAUGGCUCAAACAAGAUCAACUCCAGAGGGUAUAUAAUCAUGUGAUAAGCUUUGAAAUAUGCUUGGCAACAGAGACUCAUGUCAUACUUUAAGAACAAGAAAAGCAUAAUGUCACCCAUGUCUUUGAAUAAUUUGGUUUCUCAUCUAUAAAAUGAAUAAAUGAUUUCCAAAAGGCCUUUCCAACUUUGAGUCCAUGAUACAAAUUCAUUUUUGAGGGAUAAUAAUGUUUAUCUCUCCUUACUGACUAAUUCUGGAAAAUAUGGAACUAGGG